RNAcentral lists this ribosomal RNA (460 nucleotides) under uncultured bacterium. RNAcentral's name for it is "partial 16S ribosomal RNA". It matches the Rfam family "Bacterial small subunit ribosomal RNA", at positions 338 to 795 of the family's 1533-position model. The record is from RNAcentral.
CCUACGGGUGGCAGCAGUGAGGAAUAUUGGUCAAUGGACGAGAGUCUGAACCAGCCAAGUAGCGUGAAGGAUGACUGCCCUAUGGGUUGUAAACUUCUUUUAUAUGGGAAUAAAAUGUUCCACGUGUGGGAUUUUGUAUGUACCAUAUGAAUAAGGAUCGGCCAACUCCGUGCCAGCAGCCGCGGUAAUACGGAGGAUCCGAGCGUUAUCCGGAUUUAUUGGGUUUAAAGGGAGCGUAGGUGGAUUGUUAAGUCAGUUGUGAAAGUUUGCGGCUCAACCGUAAAAUUGCAGUUGAAACUGGCAGUCUUGAGUACAGUAGAGGUGGGCGGAAUUCGUGGUGUAGCGGUGAAAUGCUUAGAUAUCACGAAGAACUCCGAUUGCGAAGGCAGUUCACUGGACUGCAACUGACACUGAGGCUCGAAAGUGUGGGUAUCAAACAGGAUUAGAUACCCUUGUAGUC